Molecule: ribosomal RNA, 195 nt
Filed under: Pseudobdellovibrionaceae bacterium
Lineage: Bacteria; Pseudomonadati; Bdellovibrionota; Bdellovibrionia; Bdellovibrionales; Pseudobdellovibrionaceae
Description: Bdellovibrionaceae bacterium (bioreactor metagenome) partial 23S ribosomal RNA
Rfam family: Bacterial large subunit ribosomal RNA
Source: RNAcentral
CCAGUGGCAUGGCUGGAUAGCUAAGUUUGGAAAUGAUAACCGCUGAAAGCAUCUAAGCGGGAAGCAAACCACGAGAUUAGAUUUCUCGACUAUGUCCUAAAGACCCCUUGUAGACUACGAGGUUGAUAGGCGAAAGGUGUACGUGCAGUAAUGUACUCAGCUAAUUCGUACUAAUAGGUCGUGAGACUUCAUCAA